Molecule: long non-coding RNA, 2689 nt
Organism: Scleropages formosus (Asian bonytongue)
Lineage: Eukaryota; Metazoa; Chordata; Actinopteri; Osteoglossiformes; Osteoglossidae
Source: Ensembl
CUGACAUAAUUGGUGUUGGUGGCAUCCCUGGAGUCGGAGGAGUACCUGGAGUCGGAGGAGUACGUGGAGUCGGAGGUUUACCUGGAGUCGGUGGCCUCCCUGGAGUCGGAGUUGUACCUGGAGUCGGUGGUAUCCCCGGAGUCGGAGGCGUACCUGGAGUCGGAGGCAUACCUGGAGUCGGUGGUAUCCCUGGAGUCGGAGUUGUACCUGGAGUCGGAGGCAUACCUGGAUUUAGUGGAGUGCCUGGUAUAGGAUAUGGAUCUGAGGCUAAAGCCCGUAAAUAUGGUACGAACCUGCCAUACUGUUGCUGUGUUGAAAGUUCUUAUAAGUUUUUUCUGUUUUCCAUCCCUCUUCCUUAUGUUCUGUAAUACCUGAGCGAUUCUGUACUUUAAUCCUCACUACUUGAGACUAAUGCUGCUAAAUAUGGUACUUGUUGCAUUUGUCACACAAGAAAACAAAUGCAUUUAUACAAACUUUUUGUAAGACUGACCAGAGCUAGUGGGUGUGUUCUCUCUUGGGGCAUUACCAAGUACAGGUGAUAUAAUUGGUGCUGGUGGAGUACUCAGAGUCGGUGGCAUCCCUGGAGUUGGCGGCGUGCCUGGAGUCGGAGUCGGCGGCGUGCCUGGAGUCGGAGUCGGCGGCGUGCCUGGAGUCGGAGUCAGAGUCGGAGGCGUGCCUGGAGUCGGAGUCGGAGGCGUGCCUGGAAUCGGAGGUGUGCCUGGAGUCAGUGGCCUCCCUGGAGUCGGUGGCGUACCUGGAGUUGGAGGUGUACCUGGUAUAGGCUAUGGCUCUGGGGCUAAAGCUCUUAAAUAUGGUGUACCUGGAGUCAGUGGAGUACCUGGAGUCGGUGGCAUCCCUGGAGUCGGAGUUGUACCUGGAGUCAGUGGAGUACCUGGAGUCGGAGGAGUAGCUGGAGUCAGUGGCCUGCCUGGAGUCGGAGGCAUACCUGGACUUAGUGGCGUGCCUAGUAUAGGAUACGGAUUUGGGGCUAAAGCACGUAAAUAUGGUGAUAUAAUUGGUGCUGGUGGAGUACUCAGAGUCGGUGGCAUCCCUGGAGUUGGCGGCGUGCCUGGAGUCGGAGUCGGCGGCGUGCCUGGAGUCGGAGUCGGAGGCGUGCCUGGAGUCGGAGGCGUGCCUGGAGUCGGAGUCGGAGUCGGCGGCGUGCCUGGAGUCGGAGUCGGAGUCGGAGGCGUGCCUGGAGUCGGAGUUGGAGGCGUGCCUGGAGUCGGAGUCGGAGGCGUGCCUGGAGUCGGUGGCCUCCCCGGAGUCGGUGGCGUACCUGGAGCUGGAGGUGUACCCGGAGUUGGAGGUGUACCUGGUAUAGGCUAUGGUUCUGGGACUAAAGCUCGUAAAUAUGGUUAGUACUUGUCACAUUUGCUGUGUUAAGAGUUCUUGUAAGUUCUUUGUAUUUUCCAUCCCUCUUCCUUAUGUUCUAUAAUACCUUAACAAUUCUGUACUUCAGUCAUCAGUACUUGAGGCAGAUGCUGCUAAAUAUGGUACUUUUUUGCUUUUCGCACAUGAGAAAACAAAUGCAUUUAUGCAAUGUUUUUGUAAGAUUGACCGGAACUAAUGUGCGUGCUCUCUCGGGGCAUUACCAAGUACAGCUGACAUAAUUGGUGCUGGUGGCAUCCCCGGAGUCGGAGGAGUACCUGGAGUCGGAGGAGUACCUGGAGUCGGAGGUGUACCUGGAGUCGGAGGAGUACCUGGAGUCGGUGGCAUCCCUGGAGUCGGAGGAGUACCUGGAGUCGGAGGAGUACCUGGAGUCGGAGGUGUACCUGGAGUCGGAGGAGUACCUGGAGUCGGUGGCAUCCCUGGAGUCGGAGGAGUACCUGGAGUCGGAGGUAUAUCUCAAGUUAGUGAAGUACCUGGAGUCGGAGGUGUAUCUGGAGCUGCUGGAGUACCUGGAGUCGCUGGCGUACCUGGAGCUAGAAGUGUGCCUGGGAUGGGUGGACUACCUGGAGUCGGAGAAAUACCUGGUGCAGGAUAUGGAUCUGGGACUAAACCUUUUAAAUAUGGGAAGAUUUUUUAAAAUCUUGGAUUAACUUUGUGUAAUGUCUGUUAAAACUGAACGGAAUACUAUUAUACACAGAGUGGUACAUAUGUCCAUUUGUACUUGCAGGUAGAGUUCCAGGUGGUGGAUUUGCAGGGGGCUUAGCAGGAGGACUUCCAGGAGGAAUGCUAGGAGGUAACUAAAGCUGUAGUUACACACUUCCCUUUUUAACAGAAAUUCAGAGACUAUUUUUUUAAAUUAUUUCAAUGCUAUGACAAACUUUUCAUGAACACCUGCAAUAGUGUUUUUUUUUGUUUUUGAUUUAAAAAUAUAUAAACAAUGUUAUGAAUUAUGUACUGUAGAGGUGUAAAAUAGGAUUACCCAAGAAUCAUGUGUCUGCAUCCAAAUCUCUCCUUCUGUUGAUGUCAUGCACUUUUUGUAUUCUCCAUGAUGUACGUUGCUUUGGGGAAAAGUGUCUGCUAACUGAACACCUGUAAUUGUAAAUGUAAUAUUACAUGCAGAUUAAGGUUUGCAUUUUUUUAAUUCAAGCAGGUAGUGCUGGAGGAAUUCAAGGAACUGAAAUAGCCAGAUUGAAGCAGCAGACAGAAGCUGAUUGUAUUCUGGCUGAGCAUUUUUUAGAACUAGUUUUCUUCGGUGUUUAUAAAUAAACUGAAUAAAUGGUGUGUAAGAAUAUUCUGU